UGUUUGUCGGUUAACUGUUAUUUGGCAUGUUUUACAGUUUUAAAUGUAGCAUGAGGUUGGAUGUUUUCAUUUUAUAGUUUCGUGUGCAUAUUUUUACUGUUUUAUCGAUUAUGGAUUGAAUGACUGGGAUAUUGAUACUGUAUGUUGUCUGUUUGGCAUAAAUUAUCGUUUUGCUUGUUUGUAUGUGGAUUGAUAAUGCUGACUGAGGGAAAGAGAGAAUGAAAGAUUAUGUAAAUGAGUAAUUGUAUAAUGUGGUCAGCCUGACUAGAUAUCCUGGGAGAUGGUGGACGGACCGGGUCCGUAGAAAAACCUACCGGGAUUGUGGUCUCCCAUACCGGAC
This 340-nucleotide long non-coding RNA is filed under the name Carica papaya (papaya). RNAcentral's name for it is "long non-coding RNA (CPAP_LNC002122)". Lineage: Eukaryota; Viridiplantae; Streptophyta; Magnoliopsida; Brassicales; Caricaceae. The record is from RNAcentral.